GAUGAACGCUGGCGGCGUGCCUAAUACAUGCAAGUCGAGCGAACGGACGAGAAGCUUGCUUCUCUGAUGUUAGCGGCGGACGGGUGAGUAACACGUGGAUAACCUACCUAUAAGACUGGGAUAACUUCGGGAAACCGGAGCUAAUACCGGAUGAUAUUUUGAACCGCAUGGUUCAAAAGUGAAAGACGGUCUUGCUGUCACUUAUAGAUGGAUCCGCGCUGCAUUAGCUAGUUGGUAAGGUAACGGCUUCCAAGGCAACGAUGCAUAGCCGACCUGAGAGGGUGAUCGGCCACACUGGAACUGAGACACGGUCCAGACUCCUACGGGAGGCAGCAGUAGGGAAUCUUCCGCAAUGGGCGAAAGCCUGACGGAGCAACGCCGCGUGAGUGAUGAAGGUCUUCGGAUCGUAAAACUCUGUUAUUAGGGAAGAACAUAUGUGUAAGUAACUGUGCACAUCUUGACGGUACCUAAUCAGAAAGCCACGGCUAACUACGUG
Molecule: ribosomal RNA, 496 nt
Filed under: uncultured bacterium
Lineage: Bacteria
Description: partial 16S ribosomal RNA
Rfam family: Bacterial small subunit ribosomal RNA
Source: RNAcentral